This 370-nucleotide ribosomal RNA is filed under the name uncultured organism. Its description in RNAcentral is "bacterial SSU rRNA". It matches the Rfam family "Bacterial small subunit ribosomal RNA", at positions 526 to 896 of the family's 1533-position model. The record is from RNAcentral.
CGUAGGGUGCAAGCGUUAAUCGGAAUUACUGGGCGUAAAGCGUGCGCAGGCGGUUAUGUAAGACAGAUGUGAAAUCCCCGGGCUCAACCUGGGAACUGCAUUUGUGACUGCAUAGCUAGAGUACGGCAGAGGGGGAUGGAAUUCCGCGUGUAGCAGUGAAAUGCGUAGAUAUGCGGAGGAACACCGAUGGCGAAGGCAAUCCCCUGGGCCUGUACUGACGCUCAUGCACGAAAGCGUGGGGAGCAAACAGGAUUAGAUACCCUGGUAGUCCACGCCCUAAACGAUGUCAACUGGUUGUUGGGUCUUCACUGACUCAGUAACGAAGCUAACGCGUGAAGUUGACCGCCUGGGGAGUACGGCCGCAAGGUUG